UGCAAGUCGAGCGGAAACGAAGAGGUGCUUGCACCUCUGGCGUCGAGCGGCGGACGGGUGAGUAAUGCUUGGGAAUAUGCCUUAUGGUGGGGGACAACAGUUGGAAACGACUGCUAAUACCGCAUGAUGUCUACGGACCAAAGUGGGGGACCUUCGGGCCUCACGCCAUAAGAUUAGCCCAAGUGGGAUUAGCUAGUUGGUGAGGUAAUGGCUCACCAAGGCGACGAUCCCUAGCUGGUUUGAGAGGAUGAUCAGCCACACUGGGACUGAGACACGGCCCAGACUCCUACGGGAGGCAGCAGUGGGGAAUAUUGCACAAUGGGCGCAAGCCUGAUGCAGCCAUGCCGCGUGUGUGAAGAAGGCCUUCGGGUUGUAAAGCACUUUCAGUAAGGAGGAAAGGUUAAGUGUUAAUAGCACUUAGCUGUGACGUUACUUACAGAAGAAGCACCGGCUAACUCCGUGCCAGCAGCCGCGGUAAUACGGAGGGUGCGAGCGUUAAUCGGAAUUACUGGGCGUAAAGCGUACGCAGGCGGUUUGUUAAGCGAGAUGUGAAAGCCCCGGGCUCAACCUGGGAACUGCAUUUCGAACUGGCAAACUA
This 598-nucleotide ribosomal RNA is filed under the name uncultured bacterium. RNAcentral's name for it is "bacterial SSU rRNA". It matches the Rfam family "Bacterial small subunit ribosomal RNA", at positions 56 to 643 of the family's 1533-position model. The record is from RNAcentral.